AACAGGAUUAGAUACCCUGGUAGUCCACGCCGUAAACGUUGGGAACUAGAUGUGGGGGCCAUUCCACGGUCUCCGUGUCGCAGCUAACGCAUUAAGUUCCCCGCCUGGGGAGUACGGCCGCAAGGCUAAAACUCAAAGGAAUUGACGGGGGCCCGCACAAGCGGCGGAGCAUGCGGAUUAAUUCGAUGCAACGCGAAGAACCUUACCAAGGCUUGACAUAUACGAGAACGGGCCAGAAAUGGUCAACUCUUUGGACACUCGUAAACAGGUGGUGCAUGGUUGUCGUCAGCUCGUGUCGUGAGAUGUUGGGUUAAGUCCCGCAACGAGCGCAACCCUCGUUCUAUGUUGCCAGCACGUCAUGGUGGGAACUCAUAGGAGACUGCCGGGGUCAACUCGGAGGAAGGUGGGGAUGACGUCAAAUCAUCAUGCCCCUUAUGUCUUGGGCUUCACGCAUGCUACAAUGGCCGGUACAAAGGGCUGCAAUACCGUAAGGUGGAGCGAAUCCCAAAAAGCCGGUCUCAGUUCGGAUUGAGGUCUGCAACUCGACCUCAUGAAGUCGGAGUCGCUAGUAAUCGUGAAUCAGCAACGUCACGGUGAAUACGUUCCCGGGCCUUGUACACACCGCCCGUCAAGUCAUGAAAGUCGGUAACACCCAACGCCAGUGGCCUAACCCCUUGUGGGAGGGAGCUGUCUAAGGUGGGAUCGGUGAUUAGGACUAAGUCGUAACAAGGUAACC
This 736-nucleotide ribosomal RNA is filed under the name uncultured bacterium. Its description in RNAcentral is "bacterial SSU rRNA". It matches the Rfam family "Bacterial small subunit ribosomal RNA", at positions 771 to 1501 of the family's 1533-position model. The record is from RNAcentral.